Molecule: ribosomal RNA, 481 nt
Filed under: uncultured bacterium
Lineage: Bacteria
Description: bacterial SSU rRNA
Rfam family: Bacterial small subunit ribosomal RNA
Source: RNAcentral
GACGAACGCUGGCGGCGUGCCUGACACAUGCAAGUCGAACGGAGUUUCACUUUGAACCGAUAGGAGCUUGCUCCAGGAAGUUCUGUGUGAAACUUAGUGGCGGACGGGUGAGUAACGCGUGAGCAACCUGCCUUACAGAGGGGGACAACAUCGGGAAACUGAUGCUAAUACCGCAUGACAUUGUUUUGCCGCAUGACAGAACAAUCAAAGAUUUAUCGCUGUAAGAUGGGCUCGCGUCCGAUUAGGUAGUUGGUGAGGUAACGGCUCACCAAGCCGACGAUCGGUAGCCGGACUGAGAGGUUGAACGGCCACAUUGGGACUGAGACACGGCCCAGACUCCUACGGGAGCAGCAUGGGAAUAUUGCACAAUGGGCGCAAGCCUGAUGCAGCAACGCCGCGUGAGGGAAGAAGGUCUUCGGAUUGUAAACCGCUUUUAUUAGGGACGAUAAUGACGGUACCUAAUGAAUAAGCCACGGCUAAC